This 403-nucleotide ribosomal RNA is filed under the name bacterium. RNAcentral's name for it is "partial 16S ribosomal RNA". It matches the Rfam family "Bacterial small subunit ribosomal RNA", at positions 355 to 776 of the family's 1533-position model. The record is from RNAcentral.
UGGGGAAUAUUGCACAAUGGAGGGAACUCUGAUGCAGCGACGCCGCGUGAACGAAGAAGGCUUUCGAGUCGUAAAGUUCUUUUAUAUGGGAAGAUAAUGACGGUACCAUAAGAAAAAGCUCCGGCUAACUACGUGCCAGCAGCCGCUGUAAUACGUAGGGGGCUAGCGUUGUCCGGAAUCACUGGGCGUAAAGGGUUCGCAGGCGGAAAUGCAAGUCAGGUGUAAAAGGCAGUAGCUUAACUACUGUAAGCAUUUGAAACUGCAUAUCUUGAGAAGAGUAGAGGUAAGUGGAAUUUUUAGUGUAGCGGUGAAAUGCGUAGAUAUUAAAAAGAAUACCGGAGGCGAAGGCGACUUGCUGGGCUCAUUCUGACGCAGAGGAACGAAAGCGUGGGUAGCAAACAGG